UGCAAGUCGAACGGAACUUCUUUAAAGGAUUUCUUCGGAAUGAAUUUGAUUAAGUUUAGUGGCGGACGGGUGAGUAACGCGUGAGUAACCUGCCUCUAAGAGGGGAAUAACAUUCUGAAAAGAAUGCUAAUACCGCAUAACAUAUAUUUAUCGCAUGGUAGAUAUAUCAAAGAUUUAUCGCUUAGAGAUGGACUCGCGUCCGAUUAGUUAGUUGGUGAGGUAACGGCUCACCAAGACCGCGAUCGGUAGCCGGACUGAGAGGUUGAACGGCCACAUUGGGACUGAGACACGGCCCAGACUCCUACGGGAGGCAGCAGUGGGGGAUAUUGCGCAAUGGGGGAAACCCUGACGCAGCAACGCCGCGUGAAGGAUGAAGGUCUUCGGAUUGUAAACUUCUUUUAUUAAGGACGAAGAAAGUGACGGUACUUAAUGAAUAAGCUCCGGCUAACUACGUGCCAGCAGCCGCGGUAAUACGUAGGGAGCAAGCGUUGUCCGGAUUUACUGGGUGUAAAGGGUGCGUAGGCGGCUUUGCAAGUCAGAUGUGAAAUCUAUGGGCUCAACCCAUAGCCUGCAUUUGAAACUGCAGAGCUUGAGUGAAGUAGAGGCAGGCGGAAUUCCCCGUGUAGCGGUGAAAUGCGUAGAGAUGGGGAGGAACACCAGUGGCGAAGGCGGCCUGCUGGGCUUUAACUGACGCUGAGGCACGAAAGCGUGGGUAGCAAACAGGAUUAGAUACCCUGGUAGUCCACGCUGUAAACGAUGAUUACUAGGUGUGGGGGGUCUGACCCCUUCCGUGCCAGAGUUAACACAAUAAGUAAUCCACCUGGGGAGUACGGCCGCAAGG
This 841-nucleotide ribosomal RNA is filed under the name uncultured bacterium. Its description in RNAcentral is "bacterial SSU rRNA". It matches the Rfam family "Bacterial small subunit ribosomal RNA", at positions 56 to 893 of the family's 1533-position model. The record is from RNAcentral.